UAAGGAAUAUUGGUCAAUGGACGCAAGUCUGAACCAGCCAUGCCGCGUGAAGGAUGAAGGUCCUCUGGAUUGUAAACUUCUUUUAUCUGGGACGAAAACGGGAUUUUUAUCUCAAUUGACGGUACCAGAGGAAUAAGCACCGGCUAACUCCGUGCCAGCAGCCGUGGUAAUACGGAGGGUGCGAGCGUUAUCCGGAUUUACUGGGUUUAAAGGGUGCGUAGGUGGGCUUAUAAGUCAGUGGUGAAAUCUCCGAGCUUAACUUGGAAACUGCCGUUGAUACUAUAGGUCUUGAAUUAUCUGGAGGUAAGCGGAAUAUGUCAUGUAGCGGUGAAAUGCUUAGAUAUGACAUAGAACACCGAUUGCGAAGGCAGCUUACUACAUAUAAAUUGACGCUGAGGCACGAAAGCGUGGGGAUCAAACA
Molecule: ribosomal RNA, 421 nt
Filed under: uncultured bacterium
Lineage: Bacteria
Description: bacterial SSU rRNA
Rfam family: Bacterial small subunit ribosomal RNA
Source: RNAcentral